UCACCUUCUACCAAGGGGUGGCUCCACAUCAGCAAGCAGAUGUGUGAUUCCUGAGCUAUCCAGGCUGCCACAUUCCCUGAGAUCCUACAGAGGGGAAAGUAAAACAACAAAGCCAUUGUCAUGAUUCUUUACCGGUGACUCCUGCCAGUGCUGCCCCGAGCUGUGGGUGGGCUAUGGGGACAGCUGCUACCUCUUUUGCAAGGAGAGAAAGGACUGGAAUUCCAGCCAGGAGUCCUGUGCUGCAGAGAGCUCAUCUCCUGGUGAUCAGUGACACCCAGGAAAUGGAUCCACACAUUGGAGUUCUCCCCAGCAACAGGAGCAAUGGGGUGCUCAGCCCAGUCUCCACAACUCAGGAGCUCCUGGUGUCUCAGGGCUGGCGGUGGAUCCAGGAGCAGUAAUAGCAACUGAGCAUCUCUCUCUGCAGAACUAUGGAGCUCAGGGUACAGCCAGGCCUCAGCUCUUCUCCACAGCAGUAACAGCAGCAGAGCAUCCCUCCCUGCAGGACAUACAGAUACUGCCAAUCCUCUCAGUUCCUGGCCUUCACGUUCCUCAGAAGUAGUAGCAGCAACUGCCAGGGCUCCAGCACCCACUGAGCAGGGCUGUCUGGGCACUCAGCAAGGAUGUCAGCUGUGAGGAGACAGCUCACAGAGUCUUCCCACUGGCAGCUGUCACAGCCCAGCAAUACAGUGUCCUUGCCUGCAGGGACUUGAUGAAGAGGUUGAGUUGAGGAUGCAUCCAGUGCUUGGGUUGAGUAGACCUCCUGGGGCCAGGCUGGGAGUGCAGGAGGACUGCGGGGAGGGAAUGAGGUUCUGCUGGAGGCAAAUGUCACUGAAGGAUGAGCUUCCCUGAGGAGUGUUGUGGGAGCAUAAGAGCACUGGAUUAGGAGCAUCCACUCCUCACCCCCACAGCCUUUUAGCAUAAUCCCCUGUCCCUCCCUUGCUCCUGGGGACUGCAGAGCAGUUCUGGUGCUCCUUACAGCAGACAUUCUCUCUGUUACUCCCCGCCUCCCCAAACAGCCCAAGAGUAUCACGUACAGUGAGGAGUUUAGAUUCAGACUGCAAAAUCCCUUGCUGAUUUGCUAACAAAUGUCUCCCACAAAAAGUAUUGACCCCAUUGCUCCAAAGAAUAGCUGAGGGAGCUCCCACAAUCCACCUGAAUAAUGAGCUAGAGGGCAUCUAUUCUUCUGUAUUUAUAUAUUGACAAAAUAUCAGUGUGUUAUCUGGAAGGGGGUGCAGGUGCUUCCCUUUGUGUCUGCUCUGGCAUAGAGCAAUGCCCUAUGUCACGGCUUUCUGAAGAUUUCCCAUAGCCCAAGCCUUGCUCUGACAUGCCCACCCCCCAACUUUGUGUCCAUCCCCCCCGCCAUAAGCCCCUCCAUUCUGGGACCUGUUACCAGGUUGCUUUGCAGAAGGUGUCAUGCUUCCCUCCUCUUCAAAUGCCGAGCACUGCACUUGUGUCCAGAGGAGUAGCAGAUGGGAUCCAAGCCAACAGUACAUCUGUAUAGAAUGUAUAGUACUGUAGUAUAGUACUAUAGUGCUGUACUUUGCAGGGCCAGACAGUACAUCUGUAUAGAAUAUGCAUCAGAGUGGUAACAGCUCUCCAUUCCCACUGAGGCAGCAUCCUGAGACCAUGUGCCAAAGACGCAACUGUCCAGGGCCCCAUCAUACCAGGCACACAAUGGCAUGAUCACAAACAGGAACAAUGGCAGAGGAAACACAACCCUCCUCAGCAGGAGACAGCAGUGACUGACCCUUCCCAGGAACCUGCCCAGCAGUUCCUUCAGUGCCCACCUCUGCUUCAGGAGAGCCCAGCAAUCCCCAGCAUCUUUGGGUGUUCAAAGGAGCACUGGCCACCCUCCUGCAGCAAAUUUCCUGCAGGAGGCUUUGGCUUCUUGUUGCAGGAGCCUCUGCUAAUCCCAUCUGCAUUUCUUCCCACCUCCCUGCCUCAGGGCAACAGGCACUGAUUCCAAGGUCCCCACUCAGAAACUCAAGGUUUGUCCCUCAGUAGAGUUAUGGCCACUAAGUUUAAGGCGUGAACCGAAUUUCAUCAAGUCUGGGCAGCAGAUCUGGAGAGACUCUUACUGUAGUUUCAACCAGAUUUAGUUGAGCCUGUUGGUGACUUAAACUGGGGCAAAAUAAUGCCCUCCUAACCAAAAUAGGAGCAUCUACAUUACACAGGGGUGUGAACCA
Alligator mississippiensis (American alligator) is the source of this 2186-nucleotide long non-coding RNA. RefSeq lists it as uncharacterized. The record is from RefSeq and is a predicted model, not a curated record. The transcript is spliced from 2 exons. NCBI's taxonomy places the organism in Eukaryota, Metazoa, Chordata, Crocodylia, Alligatoridae.